CAAUAGCGUAUACUAAAGUUGUUGCAGUUAAAAAGCUCGUAGUCGAAUUCGGGUUUGAGCGCGCGUAGUGGUCCCUUUAGGGUCUACGGCGCACCCAAACUCAAUUUUGUCGUUACAAGUCUGUUUUUCAGAAAGCAGUCUGUAGAGCGGCAAUUUUUUACUGUGAACAAAAUAGAGUGUUCAUGGCAGGCCUUUGAAAGGCUUAAAUACCUCAGCAUGGAUUAAUAGAAUAGGACUUCCGGUUCUAUUUUGCUGGUUUUUGGAGCCGAAGUAAUGAUUAAUAGGGAUAGUUGGGGGCACUCGUACUCCGUUGUCAGAGGUGAAAUUCUUGGAUUUACGGAAGACGAACAACUGCGAAAGCAUCUGCCAAGGAUGUUUUCAUUG
This 384-nucleotide ribosomal RNA is filed under the name uncultured eukaryote. Its description in RNAcentral is "partial 18S ribosomal RNA". It matches the Rfam family "Eukaryotic small subunit ribosomal RNA", at positions 592 to 975 of the family's 1831-position model. The record is from RNAcentral.